Long non-coding RNA from Triticum aestivum (bread wheat), 4425 nucleotides. RefSeq lists it as uncharacterized. The record is from RefSeq and is a predicted model, not a curated record. Lineage: Eukaryota; Viridiplantae; Streptophyta; Magnoliopsida; Poales; Poaceae. The transcript is spliced from 4 exons.
UCGACAGUCGGGUCCGAUUGCUUUUAGGCGGUCGCCACAAAAUUCAGUCUGGCCGGGUCAUCGUGGUGGAGGUCAGCCUCAACUCGAUUUUCUAUGCAAUCAAUCCGCCAAAAGCUACCGGCGCGUCUACAUCAAGCGAUCAAGUUGUGGUUAUUUUUUAUCUGAUCCACCAAGUUGCCGCCGCUGCAAGAUUAAUUCAAGAAUUAAAGGAAGGAAAAGCUACUAUGUGGGAUUAGCACGUGAAUGCCAAAGAAAUCAGAUCAGAGGCAGGCUAUCAGCGUAAGCCCUGCAAGCCUUGGUCAAUACGGAUCCAGUAACCACGACUCGGACACGGAUGGUCCACGGGCUCGGUCUUCUCCUGUGACUCGCCUCGUUGAACCACCGCGCCUUCGUCGUCGCUAGUUCGCAUCUGCAAGUCGCCAUGGCCUCGCGUCGCUCCUCUGCUGAGCCGCCCGUCGCGCCGUCCCCGCCUCUUGUUGGGCGCUGCUGCUGCCCUGAGUCGCUUCGAGCCGGCCAUGUUGCAAGCCGCCUCCGCGACUGCCGCGCCGUAUCGCCGGGUCGCCGCUGUUGCGGUCACGGACGCGCCAUAAGCCGCCUCGAACUUGCCAGGCCGUACGCACUCCGCCUCACCCGCGGACUCCGCCCCGCUGUGCCGCGCCUCCGGUCGCAUCACUGCUGCCGCUCCUCCGGUCGCCGGCCACCUUGACGCUCUCCGCCGUUGCACCGGCCACCUCCCGCGCUCGGCUGCAUCGCCAUCGCCACUGUAGUCCUCCGAGCUGCACCGGGCCUCGCCUCUCUGCUGACCUUAGCUGCCGGGUUGAGCUGCCGUCCUCUUGGCCAAGAUAGAUUCUUGCAAAACAAACGCCACCGGCUCACCUCGUUGCUCCUCCGCCGCGAGCCACGCCUUGGCCGCUGCUGCAGUCUCCCCUUGCCGGUGUUGCUAAGUCGCCUCCGCCUCAAGUCGCCUGCGAGCCGCCGGCGUUGCCCCGAGGGCCGACCCCUAUUCCCGCGCUUGACCUGCGAGAGGUAGCCUUGCGCACGCUCGGCAGUUCCCGACCCGUUCGCCUACAAGCCGCCUCCCGCGAGCCACCGUUGCCACAUCUCGCUUCAGUCCUGAGCCGUGCCUCUGUCGUGCGGCUCCGCUUCAAGUUGCCCUCGCCAUGGGCUCGCUGCCAUCGCUCGCUUCUGUCGCGAGCCGCCCUGGAGACCCACUCGCCUCCGCUAACUAUUGUGCCUCCGAGCCACCCCCAUUCUACUGGAUUACCGCGCUGUUGUGUCAGGCUGAGACCCUGCUUCUGUCGGUUUGUCUCCGAUGUUCACGGGUCAAGAAAGAAACUUCUGCGGGCGGCUCUCUCCGAUCAAAUCUAUAUCUAUAUCUAUACCUACUAAUAAAGCAAGGUGUUUUCUCCUAAUUUUUCGUCUGUUCACCUGUAUUAUUGUUUUUAGAUUAUUUUAUAUCCGAGAUGGUACUAAUAUUUUACGCAAGCUCGUCUGAAAUAAUAAUCAGUUCGUUUAUGCUAUUGGGCUCCCGAACUGGUGACGUUAUUGGGCCUUGGGCCUUUACUGUGCUAAAAAACUUGGCCAACGCCCAGCCUCUCUUCUUUCUAAAAAUCAACCAAGUGCUUCCCUUCCUGAAAAAGAACGCAGCCGGCUCGCUCUCUUCUUCUUGUUCUCUGCGUGCUUGCGGCCGCCGACCGCCGCAACAGCCACGUCGAUCCACCACAGCCACCCCAGUUCACAGGAGAUGCAGACCAUGUUAGCAGCAAGCCAUGCUCAUGAUGUGCGUGCGUGUGUGUGUGUCAGUUAGAUGGACGCGCGGGGUGUGGCCGCGCCGGGCGCCGGAACCAGUGGCGUCCCAUUGGCGCGCGGCGGGCGCCGGAGCUGAGGAGUGCGGGGCGGGCGUUGCGUGGGCAGCGUCUAGUUGCAUGCAUGGCUGAGUUAGUUAGCACGUAGUUGUAGUAGCUAGGCUGUUAGGAGUGGCCGGUGGAGCUGGCCGCGUCGCGCGCAUAGCGCGCGUCGUGCGCAUGGCCGGUUCGCUCACUGCAUGCAGCGGAGAGCUAGCUAGGAGGAAACGUGAGGCCUGCGUCGCUAUGCGUCUACAAAGCCACGGCUGCCAGUGUGUAUUUUUGUGUGCUGAGUUCGUGCUUAGGAUGGAAAUACUAGCGGCCGUUAGUGCGGCCGGCGGCGUACGUGCGCCGGGGCAAAAAUCUUGCUGUGUGCUUCUUGUUCUUCCACCUCCUUUCUUCUACGUCCGUGCGAGAGAGAGUGAGAGCUCCGGUGAGAGGCAAGGCGAGGCUACGACAACAACAAUUGGUAUUCAGAGCCACAAGGUUCGAGGGGCGGCCGUGGCGCGUGGCGGUGCGCGCGGUGCAUGGCGGACAUGAAGGUCUUGGCAACGGCGCGCGGCGAGCACGUGGCGUCGGCAACGCGCGGCGAGUCCAUGGCGGUGUGGUGUGAUGCCGGACGCGCGGCGAGCGCGUGGCGUCGGCAACGCGCGGCGAGUCCACGGCGGUGUGGCGUGAUGCCGUGCGCGUGACGAGCGGCGGUGGUCGCGGUGACGAGGAGGUCGCGGAGGACCUGCGUGGUGUAGCAGAGGCCGCGGCGGCUCGGCACGACGACCGUGGAGGUGCUGCGCUGCGGUUGAGGCCGUAGCGGUGCAGGGCAAUAAGCCGCGGCGGCGAGCCGGGCGCAACCGGUGCGUGUUAUGGGUGCGCACUGGACGCGUCGGGCGCGUCGGAAUCGCGGGCGCGCGUACGGGCGUGCGGAUCACCGGGGGAGAACGCGUCCAGCGGAGCGCAGGGCGGCCGCGUCGAUCACGUCAGUGCGUGAUCGUGUGCGCGAGCCGGGGCGUGCAGGGCGUGGCGUCAUGGAGGAGCUCGACGUGCGUCGCCGAGGAGCUCGACGUGGCCGGUGGAGAAGAAGCUCGGCGUGCGAACGUCGAGGAAGAACAUGGAGGCAGCGUCAAGCGUCGAGAAGGCCGUAGGAGCGGCCAUGGCGCGAUGUCGACAAUGAGCCUGACAUGUGCAAAGUCAUGGCUUGGGGCGUGAAUGUUAGCAGCAAGCCAUGCUCAUGAUGUGCAUGCGUGUGUGUCAGUUAGAUGGACGCGUGGGGUGUGGCCGCGCCGGGCGCCGGAACCAGUGGCGUCCCGUUGGCGUACGUGCGCGGCGGGCGCCGGAGCUGAGGAGCGCGGGGCGGGCGUUGCGUGGGCAGCGUCUAGUUGCAUGCAUGGCUGAGUUAGUUAGCACGUAGUUGUAGUAGCUAGGCUGUUAGGAGUGGCCGGUGGAGCUGGCCGCGUCGCGCGCAUAGCGCGCGUCGUGCGCAUGGCCGGUUCGCUCACUGCAUGCAGCGGAGAGCUAGCUAGGAGGAAACGUGAGGCCUGCGUCGCUGUGCGUCUACAAAGCCACGGCUGUCAGUGUGUAUUUUUGUGUGCUGAGUUCGUGCUUAGGAAGGAAAUACUAGCGGCCGUUAGUGCGGCCGGCGGCGUACGUGCGCCGGGGCAAAAAUCUUGCUGUGUGCUUCUUGUUCUUCCACCUCCUUUCUUCUACGUCCGUGCGAGAGAGAGUGAGAGCUCCGGUGAGAGGCAAGGCGAGGCUACGGCAACAACAGACCAACGUCCUGACGCCCCAACCCUCACCUAUCCCAACGCCACCGAGCCCCCACACAUCUCGAACUCGGACUCGAAGAAGAGUCCAUGUGGCUUGCGCCUUGGAGUCGUGUCCAAGGAUGAGAUGUUCGGGAGGACGGGGCCGUGCUCUACAUGAAAAUUGAGCCAUUAAAAGGAAUCCUUAACCAAAAAUAAAUCGCAUCUCAAGUUUCUUGCCCGAGAUUGCCGUGCCGCAAGUUUCCGGCAUCUUCGUGCCGCAAGCUUUCGACAUCACCGUGCCUGCGUCGAGUUCACCGGAUAUCCGUCUGCACGUGCUCCAUGGCAACAGUUUUGGAGGUAUGAUAGUGUGCUUGAGCGAGGAUACCUCACUGCCUGUCUUGGAUGUCCAGAACAUUUUGUUGGCCAUCUCACACUCAUGUUGCAACAAUUGGAUGUGUCAUGUGAAACCUGCAGCAUUCAAGCAUUGCAAGCGGCGGUAUGGCAGUCUGAAUCCUGACGUUCUUGGGAGUGCAGUUCUAAUAGGUGGGGCGUUUGUUGGAAAUAUGGGACUGAGACCCAUAGCUCCUUAAAAAAAGGAGAAGAAGGGCUAUCUUGCUUGUCUAAAGUGAGUCUGCAUGGUGGUCUCUGUUGUUUGAAGGCAAGUUGCUCGGGAACGAGCCACUGGUUAAAUCGUUUGGUUAUCUAAGGAUGUGCACUACGAUGUGGGCGACAUGGUCGACAAGCUCUGACUACUACAUUCUCCAACAAGGUAGAAUUAAUUUAGUUGUGGUUUUAUAUUUCAAAACACUGUGAAAUUAGAAUUUACCGAGUUUCUUUGUUUA